Molecule: long non-coding RNA, 975 nt
Filed under: Vigna radiata
Lineage: Eukaryota; Viridiplantae; Streptophyta; Magnoliopsida; Fabales; Fabaceae
Description: long non-coding RNA (VRAD_LNC011786)
Source: RNAcentral
GGGCUGUGGAUGGGCUAAAACAAAUUAAAUAAAAAAAAGUUGCUGCCAAUUAGGGUGAAUUGAAAAGCACUUACACUGAUUGGAAGCAAAUAGGCCAAUGCUGGCGAUGAUUGCACAUGGGAUUGGGCUACAAGUACGAAUGAGCUUAAGUAAUGCGACACCGUUUUAAGGAUUCAGCUGCAGCUUUUGAGGGGUCUAGUUUCGAGAGCCUAAUUUUCCCAUUUGCAAGCCUCGAGCUAGGGCAGAGAACGUGAAAGCGAGAAGAAGAAAGAGGAGCUCGUGCCACUGACCGGACCCUGACCGGAGCUGACCGCUGGAGAUGAUCGGAUGGUCAGAAAGGAAGAUAGAAGCAGAUGAAGUGCCCACCGUUGGAUCAUGAAGCACUAAACGUCGAAGAGGCCUUUUCCCCCUUUCCUAUUUUUUUUCCUUUUCGUUUUGUCUAUAAAAAAGAAACUUGUACAGAUUGUUGAGUGUGAAGGCGAGAGGGUGAUAGACUCCGCGAACGAGACUGAGAUUGCCAGAGUUCGAGAGCGUGUGGGGGGUGACAGACUCCACGAGAGCAUUGGGUGAACGAGAGGAUUUCUUCUGAUUUCAUGAUCUUAGUUCUAGGUUUUCAAGCUUUUCAUAGUAUAGAUUCUGAUGCUCUUGGAUUGGUGAACGAGACUCACGGUGAGUGACAACCUGUGAGUAUCUCGACUUUGCUUUUACGGUAGUAAUCUAUUUUAAUUUUCAUUUUACCUGCAAUGCAAUUUCAAGUUCUGUUGAUUCUCUUAUUGCGAUUAUGUUCUCUGCUUCCAUUUAAUUUUUUGUGAUGUUUUAAUUUCUUCUAGAGUUUACUUUCAUUGUCAUUAGGUUUUAUAUCGUUUUAUAGUUGAAUAUAGAUUGUAACUGAUGAAUUGAUAUUUUCUUGACUGUAUUUAGUUUAUUGCACUUAAAUAAAUUAGGGAAUUGUGUUUAACUGUCCGUUAUUUCCCC